This 667-nucleotide ribosomal RNA is filed under the name uncultured fungus. RNAcentral describes it as "eukaryotic LSU rRNA". It matches the Rfam family "Eukaryotic large subunit ribosomal RNA", at positions 24 to 664 of the family's 3401-position model. The record is from RNAcentral. Lineage: Eukaryota; Fungi.
CCCGCUGAACUUAAGCAUAUCAAUAAGCGGAGGAAAAGAAACUAACAAGGAUUCCCCUAGUAACUGCGAGUGAAGCGGGAAAAGCUCAAAUUUAAAAUCUGGCGGUCUUUCGGCCGUCCGAGUUGUAAUCUGGAGAAGCGUUUAUCCGUGUUGGACCGUGUACAAGUCUUCUGGAAGGGAGCGUCAUAGAGGGUGAGAAUCCCGUCUUUGACACGGACUACCAAUGCUUUUGUGAUGCGCUCUCGAAGAGUCGAGUUGUUUGGGAAUGCAGCUCUAAAUGGGUGGUAAAUUCCAUCUAAAGCUAAAUAUUGGCGAGAGACCGAUAGCGAACAAGUACCGUGAGGGAAAGAUGAAAAGAACUUUGGAAAGAGAGUUAAACAGUACGUGAAAUUGUUGAAAGGGAAACGCUUGAAGUCAGUCGCGUUGUCCAGAAAUCAACCUUGCUUCUGCCUGGUGUACUUUUUGGUCAACGGGUCAGCAUCAAUUUCGACCGCCGGAUAAAGGUUGAGGGAACGUGACAUCUUUCGAGGUGUGUUUAUAGCCCUCGAUUCGCAUACGGCGAUUGGGAUUGAGGAACUCAGCGCGCCUUUAUGGUCGGGGUAGCAACCCACGUAACGCGCUCAGGAUGCUGGCAUAAUGGCUUUAAGCGACCCGUCUUGAAACACGG